GUGUGUGACCAUAGGGACCACGGAAGGAACCAGGGUGCAGGUGUAAAUGUAAUAAGCUCUUUGGAGCUUGGAAUGUUGAGAGCCAGCAGCGCAUAGAAAUAUGCUUUCAAAGGCAGAUGUAGAGUUAGGUAAGUCUCAGGCUGCAAGAAUUCGUGCCACCUGUCCUGCGUACAGAUAAAUCAUCUCCAGGUGUGAGGAGAGAAUCCUCAUCUGUUGAUAGAUUCUUGGAGGUUAACACCGCCAGCCUCUUGGCACCCUCCUGGCUCCUGAGCAUCAAACAUGGAUGGCCUGUCUUCUCAGAUUCCUCCUGCCUCUCCCACAGCUGUUUAGAGAAGUUGUGGCUUUGUUGAAUGAAACAGAUUCUAAGAUCUGCACGUUUGUAUCAAACUGGAGUCUCCGCAAAAGGAAAUGACCCAAAACAUUGAAAAUCUUUUUACAAGACUCCCACCACCACACACACCUUGUCGUUCCCGCUUUUUAUCUUCACAAAGCCUUACUUCCUAAGCUUACGCUUUGAAAAUUUUUGUGGUAAUUCAGUGAAGUAAAAUUUCCUUAACACUGAAAUGUACUUUCAUCUGUGCCUGUUCAAAUAGGUAUUUAAAGUAUGUUACAGGAAAAACCAUUACAGCUGGAAAAAAUAAUGUUUGUUUCUUUCCUCUAUGCGCCUGCCCCCUCCCCCUGAUAAUUAAAAUUCCUAAUGUCUUGGUGGACUGCUUUUAGCUGAGCACUAGGAAAAUUACAGGCUAUCAAUUACCUUAAUUCAGGAAGCCCUUGGUUCAGUUCUACCCUGGUCACUUAUUGGGUGUGUAACCUUGGAUAAGUUCCUUGAUUUUCUUGAAAUUUUGAUGUAAUUUCCAGCACUAAAAAUUCUGUAAAUCUGAAAUGCAAAUUAUUUACAGUAAACUGACUUUUCUGACCAACAUAGAG
Molecule: long non-coding RNA, 927 nt
Organism: Bubalus bubalis (water buffalo)
Lineage: Eukaryota; Metazoa; Chordata; Mammalia; Artiodactyla; Bovidae
Exons: 2
Source: RefSeq, a predicted model, not a curated record